AUGGAUAUCAAGGCUUUAAACUGGGGGAGGAAGCACAGGAGAAUGCCAAGACCAUUCCAGAUCAAGGUUUGUUUUUCUUCUCCAUCACACCUCACAAGGAACACAGAGAGUGAUGUCCUGUCACUUUGAUGCGUCUCUCUACUCAAAUGGCAGAAACCAACCAGGUGAGUUGUCAUAACUUUAGAUGAGGCUAGGAUAAAAAUACACCUUGGAGAGCUUGCUUUCUGAUGACAGACUGAGAGUAGCUCUUUUUGAUUUGAGUGAUUUGGAGCUUAAAUUCAGUGCCAACCCACAUGAGUGUCUCAGGACGCAGGGUUAGGAAAGAGAUUAUACCAGGAGUAUAAG
This 345-nucleotide long non-coding RNA is filed under the name Felis catus (domestic cat). Its description in RNAcentral is "lncRNA (ENSFCAG00000043063.2)". The record is from RNAcentral. Lineage: Eukaryota; Metazoa; Chordata; Mammalia; Carnivora; Felidae.